CUACGUGCCAGCAGCCGCGGUAAUACGGAGGAUGCGAGCGUUAUCCGGAAUCAUUGGGUUUAAAGGGUCUGUAGGCGGGCAAAUAAGUCAGAGGUGAAAGCGCUUAGCUCAACUAAGCAACUGCCUUUGAAACUGUUAGUCUUGAAUUAUUGUGAAGUAGUUGGAAUGUGUAGUGUAGCGGUGAAAUGCUUAGAUAUUACACAGAACACCGAUAGCGAAGGCAUAUUACUAACGAUAUAUUGACGCUGAUGGACGAAAGCGUGGGGAGCGAACAGGAUUAGAUACCCUGGUAGUCCACGCUGUAAACGAUGGAUACUAGCUGUUUGGUUUUAUGACUGAGUGGCUAAGCGAAAGUGAUAAGUAUCCCACCUGGGGAGUACGUUCGCAAGAAUGAAACUCAAAGGAAUUGACGGGGGCCCGCACAAGCGGUGGAGCAUGUGGUUUAAUUCGAUGAUGCGCGAGGAACCUUACCAAGGUUUAA
This 481-nucleotide ribosomal RNA is filed under the name uncultured bacterium. Its description in RNAcentral is "bacterial SSU rRNA". It matches the Rfam family "Bacterial small subunit ribosomal RNA", at positions 501 to 984 of the family's 1533-position model. The record is from RNAcentral.